UGUAACGGCGAGUGAAGAGGGAAAAGCUCAAAUUUUAAAUCUGGUGUCUUUGACUCCCGAUUGUAAUCUAGAGAAGUGUUUUCCGUGUCGGACCGUGUACAAGUUCCCUGGAACGGGGCUCAUAGAGGGUGAGAAUCCCGUAUAUGCCAUGGACUACCGAUGCUCUGUGAUACACUCUAACGAGUCGAGUUGUUUGGGAAUGCAGCUCAAAAUGGGUGGUAAAUUCCAUCUAAAGCUAAUAUUGGCGAGAGACCGAUAGCGAACAAGUACCGUGAGGGAAAGAUGAAAAGCACUUUGAAAGAGAGUGAAACAGUACGUGAAAUUGUUGAAAGGGAAACGCUUGAAGU
This 347-nucleotide ribosomal RNA is filed under the name uncultured Sebacinales. RNAcentral describes it as "eukaryotic LSU rRNA". It matches the Rfam family "Eukaryotic large subunit ribosomal RNA", at positions 82 to 429 of the family's 3401-position model. Lineage: Eukaryota; Fungi; Basidiomycota; Agaricomycetes; Sebacinales. The record is from RNAcentral.